RNAcentral lists this ribosomal RNA (445 nucleotides) under Lachnoanaerobaculum saburreum. RNAcentral's name for it is "bacterial SSU rRNA". It matches the Rfam family "Bacterial small subunit ribosomal RNA", at positions 28 to 455 of the family's 1533-position model. The record is from RNAcentral. Lineage: Bacteria; Bacillati; Bacillota; Clostridia; Lachnospirales; Lachnospiraceae.
GAUGAACGCUGGCGGCGUGCUUAACACAUGCAAGUCGAACGAAGCUGUUAAAAGGAAGUCUUCGGAUGGAAUUUUAACAGACUUAGUGGCGGACGGGUGAGUAACGCGUGGAUAACCUGCCUUAUACAGGGGGAUAACGGAGAGAAAUUUCCGCUAAGACCGCAUAAGACCACAGCACCGCAUGGUGCAGGGGUAAAAUAUUAAUAGGUAUAAGAUGGAUCCGCGUCCGAUUAGCUAGUUGGUGAGGUAGAGGCUCACCAAGGCGACGAUUGGUAGCCGGCCUGAGAGGGUGAACGGCCACAUUGGGACUGAGACACGGCCCAAACUCCUACGGGAGGCAGCAGUGGGGAAUAUUGGACAAUGGGGGAAACCCUGAUCCAGCGACGCCGCGUGAGUGAAGAAGUAUUUCGGUAUGUAAAGCUCUAUCAGCAGGGAAGAAAAUGAC